RNAcentral lists this ribosomal RNA (253 nucleotides) under uncultured bacterium. RNAcentral's name for it is "partial 16S ribosomal RNA". It matches the Rfam family "Bacterial small subunit ribosomal RNA", at positions 524 to 776 of the family's 1533-position model. The record is from RNAcentral.
UACGGAGGGUGCAAGCGUUGUCCGGAUUUAUUGGGUUUAAAGGGUGCGUAGGUGGUUUUCUAAGUCUGGUUUGAAGCUGGUGGCUUAACCAUCAGAUGUGGCUGGAAACUGGAGGACUUGAAUGCGUUGGCGGUAGCCGGAACGGGUCAUGGUAGCGGUGAAAUGCAUAGAUAUGACCCAGAACACCGAUUGCGAAGGCAGGCUACUACGACGUGAUUGACACUGAGGCACGAGAGCAUGGGUAGCGAACAGG